Molecule: non-coding RNA, 735 nt
Filed under: Tetramorium tsushimae
Lineage: Eukaryota; Metazoa; Arthropoda; Insecta; Hymenoptera; Formicidae
Source: RNAcentral
UUAUGGUUAAAUAAAUUUAAAUUUAAAUAAUUUUAAAUUUUGAGUUUUAAUAUUUAUAAUGAUUAUAAAUUUUUAAUUUAAAAGAUAGUAAUUUUUAAAAAUAAUAAUUAAUUUAGUGCCAGCAAUUGCGGUUAGACUAAGAUUAUAAAUAAAUUUAAUUUAAGUUAUUAAUUUAUAUAAUUUAUGUUAAUUAUAUUUGUAAAAUAGAUAUUAUAUGGUGAAAUAUUUAAUAUUUAUUAUUAUAAAUAAUAAAAUUAUUUAGUAAUUAAAAAGUUUAGGGAAGAAAUUAGGAUUAGAUACCCUAUUAUUCUAAUUAAAUAAUAGAGCUUAGAAAUUAAAUGUUUAGAACAUUAAAUUUAAGUAUUUUGGCGGUAUUUAAAUGCAUUAGAGGAAUUUGUUGAGUAAUUGAUAAUCCACGAAAAGAAUAACCUAAUAUAAUAUUUAUGUAUUGUUGUUUUAAAAUUAUUUUAAAGGAAUUAUAAUUAAUAAUUUUUAAUUGAAAUUAAAUUCAAAUCAAAAUGUAGUAUAAUUAGGGUUUAAUGAAUUACUUUUUAUUUAAAUAAUUGAUUUAAAGUUUUAAUAUUUUAUUAAUAAAGGAUUUAAAAGUAAAUUUAAAUAAUUAUUUAGAUUGAAAUUUUACUUUAAAUAUGUACAAAUUGCCCGUCAUUUUCUUGAAUUUAUAAGAGAAAAAAGUCGUAACAAAGUAAGUGUAUAGGAAUAUGCAUUUAGAUUAAA